CUGAGGCAAACUCCAUCAGUGAUCCAUGGGCUUUCUGCUCUCUUAUACCCAGGAUCUACAAGGAGCCAAAAUUGGACAGUAGCAGCCAUGUGGGGCAGGCACCUCAAGAACAGACCAUCCUCAGAGAGAAGCACUCAAAACUCUGGGCCCAGCAUAUCUAAAAGACCGCUGAAAGCUCCAGGAUUAAAACCACGGUCAACGAUUCUGCUCUUCCAGCAAAAUGGAAUUUUCUACAACAGGAGUGGAACACACGAGCUUUAUCCUUCUUCGACCUGCCUUCUCUAGCUUUAACACAGAGCAGAGUGGACAGAUUUAAAAAAAAAAAAACAACCCACCUCACCCAGUGCACUCAAUGCCCCACUAACAACUACGUGGAUGAAACAAAACAAUCACUACGCUCUCAAAGGAACUCCCACAGAAAAACAAUAAAAGACAAAAACACCCUGUCACCCACGGGUGAACAGGUUUCACAAAGUGAUCACUCUGAACCUGACUUAUCAGACCUCAUCCUCAAAGGAAACCUGCACACACCAUCAAAAGAUGCUGGGUCUGGAUCACUGGAAAAUCAGAAUUCUCACUUCUCCAGUGGGAUACAAGAAGUCUAGACCUGAUGAUUGCAAGAUAUUGGGCUGAAAACUAUCCCACCACAUGCCUUGCAUCUCAAAAAGUAAUUUUCACUGCCUGCUUUUAUCUGAGUUGUAUUUGGGGGAAGAAAAAAUUAACUAUUUUUGGGUUAGAUCAUUAUCAUUUUUAUUAAAUGAUGGCUGUUUGAAAACUGCUCUGAAAUAUGGAGUAUUAGAUAUAGUUUCAGCAGAGAUGGAUUAGUAGACAAAGCAGGUGAGAGGCAAAAGGUUAAAAAUAAAUUAAAUGUAUUACAUAAAUGAAUGUAUGUUAGUUUAUCCCAUGAUUCCACAGCGUACUUAAGAGAUACAGAAAUAAAGGAAUUGUAUCUAUAUCAUGGGCACAUAUUUAGAUAAUAUAUGUGAUUAUGCUGCUCACAUAAUUUGUAUUUCCAAAACCAUUAUAAACCGUUAUACAAACUAACUUUAUACUAGACUUGGAGAUGUCACUGAGUACUGCCCGUGCCAGCUAUGUUAUUAUUUACAGAGUAAUAAAUUCAAAGGGGAAAAAUUAGAGGUGUAGGAGAAAAAAAGAGAAGUUGAACAAAAGAAGGGAGAUAAAUGAUGCAGAGUUCUAUCAAAUUUUGUUGCCACUUGUUUGGGAGGGUCAUUACUUGCACAUUUGUGGCUACCCCUUACACGAGUAAUGCAGGUAUCUCAAAUACAACUAAAAAUAUGAGCAGUGUAAAGUGUUAAACCUACCA
Molecule: long non-coding RNA, 1324 nt
Organism: Gopherus flavomarginatus (Mexican gopher tortoise)
Lineage: Eukaryota; Metazoa; Chordata; Testudines; Testudinidae
Exons: 3
Source: RefSeq, a predicted model, not a curated record